UAUCAACCCCGUUAUUUAAAAAUGUGCAAGUCCGUUUGUUCUUAUUAAGUGAUGAAGCCCCCUACCCCGCCACCACCCAAACAUUUAUCACCUUGUAUCCCCAGUUUUAUCAAGGGAAUACUAUAACCGCCAACGAACAAACAUAAAUAUAACAAAAAAAACAAAAACAAAUAAUCACCAGGAAAAAAAUUAAAAUAACUAAAAUAAAAACAGCGUUGGAUUGGCAGAUCUCGAGCCCACAACUUGGACUUGCAGGGAAUUUGGACUUGAAGCGAUUGAUUAAAGCUAGUGAAGAAACAUUUCGAUGUAACGAGGGUUUCUCCUGCAGCAGGUAAAAGAAUUCCGAGGAGUGAAAAAAAAACCCUGGAAAGGCUGGAAAUGUUUGGCUCAAAUAAGAGGCCAUCUACGGAAUAAAAAGAUGUAUGUACAUUUAGCUGUGGAAAUCGAAAUUCAAAUACUAGUCCCUACUUUAAUAAUAAUAAUAAUAAUAAUAAUAAAAAUACGUGUAUCCUCCUCUGUGUUCUCCACAAAAUCCAUUCCAGAAUAAAUUACAAAAACAGACAACACAAAUAUCAAACAAAAGGCUUCCAAGUGAUGAAAAAAACAAGAAACAUUUAACAAAAUGGCUGAAAGAAACUUUGUGGCAACCAACUUUAAAACAAACACUGCGACAGGUCAUAAUAAUAAUAAUAAUAUAAUAAUAAUAAUUUAUAAAUAAAUUGUCCUUUUCAAUUGCUGCAUUUUUGGAAUAUUAGUGUAUGUUUGGGAACAAAUAAGUCGUUCGAAUUACUUUUGCUCUUUGUAACUUUUCAGCCUUCUUUAAACCACUGAAGGCUUGAAAUAUGAAAUCCAGUCUAUAAAGCAAACGUGGGAAUAUGGAAUUGAAUUUACAAUUUUCUGCAGUAGUGCGAGCAAAUCAAACUUUAAGCCGAUUUCAACGGACGUAAACGGGCAGAACGAUAAAUAACACACAGACACAAGGCAGCAGGUAGAUUAUGAAGGAAACUGGAUUUUAAAAAGUCUUUUUUUUCUUUUCUCGGGAAUAUUAAUUCAAAAAGUGCCCCAGUGGAAAAAGAACGAUGGAACCAUGACAUUUAAAGUACGUACAAUAUUUACAGAUGUGAUUAUAGUGGAAAUCAAGAGCCCGUCCUGACCUGCGCAUGAUGCAACCAAUCGUUCUUGGAGGAUAAAGGAGAAUAAAGGCGAGGGGGGUAGGGUGGUGGUGGUGGUGGUGUUGGGGGGGGGGGGGGGGUGUUUUGAUUCAUCAUAGGACUUUGGAGAUAAACACGUCACAGCCACGGCCGGCUUGAGUCUGUGAGCCACGCACGCAAAUAUCAUCGUCAAUAUCUUCACGAGAACAUCGAUGGGUGUUUUGUGUCGGAUGAUGAAAUCCUGACGUGACAUCUCAUCUUACUUAACAAACAGGAGUCGCCGAGCGGUCGAAAUGAAUGCAAAGCUGACAGACGCUCACUCCGAGCUCGACUCUUUGGCGGCCCGCAGCAUCCAAUCGAGCAGCGAGCAUCUCUGCUGCGUGCAGGAGCCACACAACUAAAACCCCUUCGUUUGUUUUUUGUUGUUGUUGUUGUUGUUUAAAAAAAAAAAACUUUCCUGUUUUUGUUUGUUUGUUUGAAAUCGUGAUGUGUUGUUGUGGCCCAAGCUAUUCUGCGUACGUUUCGCGUUGAAAACAACAGCAUCCUUGUUUCUUGUCCUCCCUGGAUGUUGUUCUAACUCCUUUCGACAAAAAAUGGGGGAGGGGGCUACACCUUGAAACUGCGCCCAGUGGACUCACAGUGCUCGGCUGGUAUCCUCAAACAGAACAGAAGAGAAGAAAACACGUCGAUGCGCCUUGAGCUCUUGGGGGAGAGAUGAGACGGGGUCGUCCUGUGUGUGUGUGGCCCCCCCCCCCCACACACACUCUCGUUCUCACUGCAGAUAUGGUGACAGCAUGAUGGAGUUCUAAAACCAAGUCGGUAUUCCACCUAAAGAAUCUUUGCUGACAUUUGUCCUGGUUGCAGCAGCACCUUCCACACAUCAAUGGCAUCUGUUCUGUUUGAUCACUGAAAAUGUUUUAUGGAAGAUGGAAAGUGAUUUAGUCAAGUCCUGGGAUGCUUUAGGCCAAGCAGAGUGAAAUAUUUUUGAAGAAUAUCCUGCUCGUCAACACAAACAGAUGACAGCCAUCUUUUCCUGGAGCGGAUCUUUCUCUUCUACUUUAGAUGAGAAGCCUUUGGUGAAAAUAAAAGGAAGAGGGAGGCUAACAGAGAGAGAAGGUGUUUAUUUCAUUUGUCUCUGAGGGACAAAGCCCGCACCCCCCAUCUUCAACCCAACAUCCUAAUGGAUCAAACAAAGGACAUCAUUUGUAGGCCAAGUGUUUUUCUGAACGUCCCUCCCUCUCCUCGGCUAUGCAUUCCAGUCGAAUAGAGCCCAAGGAAACACGCAUUACCUAAGCACCUUGUGUCCGCCGGCUGGGACGGUGAGAUCAGCGACCCGCUCCUCCGUCGUCAUGUGGUGAGCGAGCCCCUUCGGUCGCUUCCAGAGGGGCUCGGUCACAACACUGCCUAAAGGGGCAGGUGAUGCAAGCACAUGAAGGCGCUUGUCGGCAGGAGACCCUUUGAUGGACAAAGACAAAUAAGGCAGAGAAAAACUUCGGACUGAUAAUAAUGUUUCCUUUGAUUCCUACGCAAAAUGAAAUGUUGUCAACAUUAUGUGAUUUGGAGGAAGUCAGAUUCAAUAAUUUCUUUUGUGCCUUUCAGAGUGAGGUUUUAUCCUGAACUAAAUUUACAGUUUAGUUGCAUCGUCAUUGUCAUUCUAAUUGAUAUUACUAUUAUUAUUGAUAUUACUUAAAUAAUGAACAAUUUCAAAGGAACAUUUUUGCUGCAGUUUGUUAGUCUACAAAACAUUUAACAGAGCCUCCCAGGUAAAUGUUUUGAAUAAAGCUUUAACUUAUGUUGCCAAGCAGUUUUUAUUUAAAAAAAUAUUUUUGCACUGAAAGAAAAUGUCUGUCUGUGAAAAUACUACAUUACAAGAAAGAUCAAAAAUCAUCCUACAUCAUUAAAAC
Long non-coding RNA from Phyllopteryx taeniolatus (common seadragon), 3055 nucleotides. RefSeq lists it as uncharacterized. The transcript is spliced from 6 exons. The record is from RefSeq and is a predicted model, not a curated record. Lineage: Eukaryota; Metazoa; Chordata; Actinopteri; Syngnathiformes; Syngnathidae.